AGCGAACGCUGGCGGCGUGCCUAACACAUGCAAGUCGAACGUGAAAAGGGAAACCUGAGUAAAGUGGCGUACGGGUGAGUAACGCGUAGGUAAUCUACCCCAGAAUCUGGAAUAACCUGCCGAAAGGCGGGCUAAUACUGGAUAGAGCGAGGGAACUCGUAAGAGAGUUUUUCGGGAAAGGGAGCCCGCAAGGGCCUUCGUUCUGGGAUGAGCCUGCGUCUCAUUAGCUAGUUGGUAAGGUAACGGCUUACCAAGGCGAUGAUGAGUAGCUGGUCUGAGAGGAUGAUCAGCCACACUGGAACUGAAACACGGUCCAGACUCCUACGGGAGGCAGCAGUGGGGAAUCUUGCGCAAUGGACGAAAGCCUGACGCAGCCACGCCGCGUGAGUGAAGAAGGCCUUCGGGUUGUAAAGCUCUGUCGGAUGGGACGAACAUCUUCAUAGUGAAUAGCUAUGAGGACUGACGGUACCAUCAAAGGAAGCACCGGCUAACUCCGUG
This 498-nucleotide ribosomal RNA is filed under the name uncultured bacterium. Its description in RNAcentral is "partial 16S ribosomal RNA". It matches the Rfam family "Bacterial small subunit ribosomal RNA", at positions 29 to 507 of the family's 1533-position model. The record is from RNAcentral.